GAUGAAGAACGUAGCGAAAUGCGAUACUUGGUGUGAAUUGCAGAAUCCCGUGAACCAUCGAGUCUUUGAACGCAAGUUGCGCCCGAAGCCAUUAGGCCGAGGGCACGCCUGCCUGGGCGUCACACGUCGUUGCCCCCCCAUCUACUCCUUCGGGAUUGCGGGGGGCGGAUGAUGGCCUCCCGUGCGCCUCGUCGCGCGGUUGGCAUAAAUGCCAAGUCCUCGGCGACGCACGCCACGACAAUCGGUGGUUGCGAAACCUCGGUUGCCCGUCGUGUGCGGUCGUCGCGCAUCGAGGGCUCGAAAAAAUUGCCGGGCUCCGGCUCGGCUUUCAACGCGACCCCACGUCAGGCGGGGUUACCCGCUGAAUUUAAGCAUAUCAAUAAGCGGAGGA
RNAcentral lists this unclassified non-coding RNA (391 nucleotides) under soil metagenome. RNAcentral describes it as "partial contains 5.8S ribosomal RNA, internal transcribed spacer 2, and large subunit ribosomal RNA". The stretch from base 1 to 122 matches the Rfam family "5.8S ribosomal RNA", at positions 35 to 154 of the family's 154-position model. The record is from RNAcentral.